UUCCUACGGGAGGCAGCAGUGGGGAAUCUUGCGCAAUGGUCGUAAGGCUGACGCAGCGACGCCGCGUGGAGGACGAAGGCCUUCGGGUUGUAAACUCCUUUUCUGGGAGACGAAUAAGGUGGGCAGGCAAUGGUCCACCGAUGACGGUACCCCAGGAACAAGCGCCGGCUAACUUCGUGCCAGCAGCCGCGGUAAGACGAAGGGCGCAAGCGUUAUCCGGAAUUACUGGGCGUAAAGGGCGUCUAGGCGGCCAAUCAAGUCAACGUUGAAAGCCCUUGGCUAAACUGAGGGAUGUACGUCGAAACUGAUUGGCUCGAGGAACGUAGAGGAAGGCGGAACUCUCGGAGUAGCGGUGAAAUGCGUAGAGACCGAGAGGUACCCCGAUGGUGAAGACAGCCUUCUGGGCGUUUCCUGACGCUGAAGCGCUAAGGCCAGGGGAGCGAAGGGGAUUAGAUACCCCCGUAGUCCUGGCUUCAAACGAUGUGGGCUUGGUGUCGGCU
Molecule: ribosomal RNA, 500 nt
Filed under: uncultured KB1 group bacterium
Lineage: Bacteria; Candidatus Calescibacteriota
Description: bacterial SSU rRNA
Rfam family: Bacterial small subunit ribosomal RNA
Source: RNAcentral